RNAcentral lists this ribosomal RNA (253 nucleotides) under uncultured bacterium. RNAcentral describes it as "partial 16S ribosomal RNA". It matches the Rfam family "Bacterial small subunit ribosomal RNA", at positions 524 to 776 of the family's 1533-position model. The record is from RNAcentral.
UACAGAGGUCCCAAGCGUUGUUCGGAUUUACUGGGCUUAAAGGGUGCGCAGGCGGUCAGAUAAGUCGGGUGUGAAAUCCCAAGGCUUAACCUUGGAACUGCGCCCGAAACUGUCUGGCUCGAGGAUUGGAGAGGAGACUGGAAUUCACGGUGUAGCGGUGAAAUGCGUAGAUAUCGUGAGGAACACCAAUGGCGAAGGCAGGUCUCUGGACAAUUUCUGACGCUCAUGCACGAAAGCCAGGGGAGCAAACGGG